RNAcentral lists this ribosomal RNA (529 nucleotides) under uncultured bacterium. Its description in RNAcentral is "bacterial SSU rRNA". It matches the Rfam family "Bacterial small subunit ribosomal RNA", at positions 777 to 1304 of the family's 1533-position model. The record is from RNAcentral.
AAUAGAUAUCCGGGUAGUCCACGCCGUAAACGUUGGGCGCUAGAUGUGGGGACCUUUCCACGGUUUCCGUGUCGUAGCUAACGCAUUAAGCGCCCCGCCUGGGGAGUACGGCCGCAAGGCUAAAACUCAAAGGAAUUGACGGGGGCCCGCACAAGCGGCGGAGCAUGCGGAUUAAUUCGAUGCAACGCGAAGAACCUUACCAAGGCUUGACAUACACGAGAACGGGCCAGAAAUGGUCAACUCUUUGGACACUCGUGAACAGGUGGUGCAUGGUUGUCGUCAGCUCGUGUCGUGAGAUGUUGGGUUAAGUCCCGCAACGAGCGCAACCCUCGUCGCAUGUUGCCAGCACGUUAUGGUGGGGACUCAUGUGAGACUGCCGGGGUCAACUCGGAGGAAGGUGGGGAUGACGUCAAAUCAUCAUGCCCCUUAUGUCUUGGGCUUCACGCAUGCUACAAUGGCCGGUACAAAGGGCUGCGAUGUCGUAAGGCGGAGCGAAUCCCAAAAAGCCGGUCUCAGUUCGGAUUGAGGU